Molecule: long non-coding RNA, 279 nt
Filed under: Mytilus galloprovincialis (Mediterranean mussel)
Lineage: Eukaryota; Metazoa; Mollusca; Bivalvia; Mytilida; Mytilidae
Source: RNAcentral
UCAUUAUUGUCGAGCCUUCGACUUUAGUCGAAAAAGCGAGACUAAGCGAUCCUACAUUCCGUCGUCGUCGGCGUCGUCGGCGGCGUCAACAAAUAUUCACUCUGUGGUUAAAGUUUUUGAAAUUUUAAUAACUUUCUUAAACUAUACUGGAUUUCUACCAAACUUUGACAGAAGCUUGUUUAUGAUCAUAAGGUAGUAUCCAAAAGUAAAUUUUGUAAAAAUAAAAUUCCAUUUUUUCCGUAUUUUACUAUAAAUGGACUUAGUUUUUUCUGCGAGGAA